UCUACGGGGGGCAGCAGUGAGGAAUAUUGGUCAAUGGGCGCGAGCCUGAACCAGCCAAGUCGCGUGAGGGAUGACGGCCCUACGGGUUGUAAACCUCUUUUGCCGGGGAGCAACGGGCGCCACGUGUGGCGCCACUGAGAGUACCCGGAGAAAAAGCAUCGGCUAACUCCGUGCCAGCAGCCGCGGUAAUACGGAGGGUGCAAGCGUUGUCCGGAAUCAUUGGGCGUAAAGAGUUCGUAGGCGGCAUGUAAAGUCAGGUGUUAAAGGCGCAGGCUCAACCUGUGUAUGGCACUUGAUACUUGCAAGCUGGAAUGCGGUAGAGGUAAAGGGAAUUCCUGGUGUAGCGGUGAAAUGCUUAGAUAUCAGGAGGAACAUCGGUGGCGUAAGCGCUUUACUGGGCCGUAAUUGACGCUGAGGAACGAAAGCCAGGGUAGCAAAUGGGAUUAGAUACCCCAGUAGUC
Molecule: ribosomal RNA, 461 nt
Filed under: uncultured bacterium
Lineage: Bacteria
Description: partial 16S ribosomal RNA
Rfam family: Bacterial small subunit ribosomal RNA
Source: RNAcentral